UGGGGAAUUUUGGACAAUGGGCGAAAGCCUGAUCCAGCAAUGCCGCGUGUGUGAAGAAGGCCUUCGGGUUGUAAAGCACUUUUGUCCGGAAAGAAAUCCUCUGGGUUAAUACCUCGGGGGGAUGACGGUACCGGAAGAAUAAGCACCGGCUAACUACGUGCCAGCAGCCGCGGUAAUACGUAGGGUGCAAGCGUUAAUCGGAAUUACUGGGCGUAAAGCGUGCGCAGGCGGUUUGUAAUGACGGAUGUGAAAUCCCCGGGGCUUAACCUGGGAACUGCAUUCGUGACUGCAAGGCUAGAGUAUGGCAGAGGGGGGUAGAAUUCCACGUGUAGCAGUGAAAUGCGUAGAGAUGUGGAGGAAUACCGAUGGCGAAGGCAGCCCCCUGGGCCAAUACUGACGCUCAUGCACGAAAGCGUGGGGAGCAAACAGGAUUAGAUACCCUGGUAGUCCACGCCCUAAACGAUGUCAACUAGUUGUUGGGGAUUCAUUUCCUUAGUAACGUAGCUAACGCGUGAAGUUGACCGCCU
RNAcentral lists this ribosomal RNA (527 nucleotides) under uncultured bacterium. RNAcentral's name for it is "partial 16S ribosomal RNA". It matches the Rfam family "Bacterial small subunit ribosomal RNA", at positions 355 to 874 of the family's 1533-position model. The record is from RNAcentral.